AAAAAAAAGACACAUGAUAAAAACAAUCCAGUCAGAAAAUAGAUAUAGAGACAUUUUGCUGAAGAGGAUAUAAAAAAUGGCAGAUAUGCACAUGAAAAAAUGUUCCACAGUAUUAGCCAUUAGGGAAAUAGAAGCUAAAACCACAUUGGGAUAUUACCACACACCUAUCAGAAUGACCAAAAUAAAAAGUAGUGACAAUACCAAAUCAUGAGGACUCAGAGAAACUGCAUCACUCAUAUUUUGGUGGAUGUGUGAAAUGGUAGAUUUGCUCUAGAAAAGAGUUUUGUACUUUCUUAAACUUCAGACUACCAUAUGACCCUGCAGUUGCCCUCCUGGGCAUUUAUCCCAGAAAAAAAUGAAGAGAUGUUCACUCAACCACCUGUACAUGACAGUUUAUAGCAGCUUUAUUUAAUAGCCCAAAACUAGAAACAAUCCAGAUGUCCUUCAGCAAGUAAAUCGUUAAACAAACUGGUGCAUCCAUACCACAGACUACCACUUGGCAAUAAAAAAGGGAUGAACUAUUGAUACAUACAAAUGGGAUGAAUCUCCAGAUAAUUAUGCCCAAAAAUGAAAGUCCCAAAAGGUUAUAUAUUGCUAUUUCCAUUUAUUUAAUAUUCUUGAAAUAAGGAAGUUACAGAACUGGAGAAUAGAUUCGUGGUUGCCGGGGGUAAAGAAGGGUGCAAUGGGAGGGAAGUGGGUGUAACUGUAAAAGGGAAACCUGAGUGUUCCUUGAGGUGAUGAAAAUGUUCUGUAUCUUUACUGGAUCCAUGUUAAUAUUCUGGUUGUGAUCCUGUAAUACAGUUUUGCAAGUUUUAGAAGGAAACUGGGUAAAGAAUACAUGGGAUCGCUCUUAUUUCUUACAACUGUAUAUGAAUCUAUUUCAAAAUUAAUGUUUACUCAGACUAUAAUGUAGAAGUGGGGCC
Molecule: long non-coding RNA, 923 nt
Filed under: Homo sapiens (human)
Lineage: Eukaryota; Metazoa; Chordata; Mammalia; Primates; Hominidae
Description: HSALNT0166384
Source: RNAcentral